AUGAGUGCCGGCCUAGUGGACCUACAUAAAUCUCUUCACCUCCUCGUUUCAUCAGGAAGAGCUACAAAGACACACAGGAUCAUCAGGCACUGCAUUUAUUACCUCAUCAAAAGACUCAAAUAUGUCGAUGCUUGGUUGAUGAAUGGUGCAAACAACUGUCCGUCCUGUAUCUACAGUAUUCCUUAUUGCCCUCAUGACAAUGGCUGCUGCCCGUGCAUCAAGUCCAGAUGUUGGUUCGUCCAUGAAAAUGAUGGAAGGGGAGAGUUCCACCAAUUCCAUGACCUCAUCAAUGAACAUCUGCAGACCAGGUUUCAUGUGUUAGAGCAGUCAGCAGGUAAUCGGAGCCAUGAAGAGAAUGCAAGAGACUCAUAG
RNAcentral lists this ribosomal RNA (372 nucleotides) under Triticum aestivum (bread wheat). Its description in RNAcentral is "partial small subunit ribosomal RNA". Lineage: Eukaryota; Viridiplantae; Streptophyta; Magnoliopsida; Poales; Poaceae. The record is from RNAcentral.